AAAUUGAAGAGUUUGAUCAUGGCUCAGAUUGAACGCUGGCGGCAGGCCUAACACAUGCAAGUCGAACGGUAGCACAGAGAGCUUGCUCUCGGGUGACGAGUGGCGGACGGGUGAGUAAUGUCUGGGAAACUGCCUGAUGGAGGGGGAUAACUACUGGAAACGGUGGCUAAUACCGCAUAACGUCGCAAGACCAAAGAGGGGGACCUUCGGGCCUCUUGCCAUCAGAUGUGCCCAGAUGGGAUUAGCUAGUUGGUGAGGUAACGGCUCACCAAGGCGACGAUCCCUAGCUGGUCUGAGAGGAUGACCAGCCACACUGGAACUGAGACACGGUCCAGACUCCUA
This 342-nucleotide ribosomal RNA is filed under the name Salmonella enterica. RNAcentral describes it as "bacterial SSU rRNA". It matches the Rfam family "Bacterial small subunit ribosomal RNA", at positions 1 to 341 of the family's 1533-position model. RNAcentral also lists the same sequence under 1 other name. Lineage: Bacteria; Pseudomonadati; Pseudomonadota; Gammaproteobacteria; Enterobacterales; Enterobacteriaceae. The record is from RNAcentral.